RNAcentral lists this unclassified non-coding RNA (205 nucleotides) under soil metagenome. RNAcentral's name for it is "partial contains 5.8S ribosomal RNA, internal transcribed spacer 2, and large subunit ribosomal RNA". The record is from RNAcentral.
AACACUGUUAACCUGCGGUACCUGCGGAGGGAUCAUUACCGAGUUUACAACUCCCAAACCCCUGUGAACAUACCACUUGUUGCCUCGGCGGAUCAGCCCGCUCCCGGUAAGACGGGACGGCCCGCCAGAGGACCCCUAAACUCUGUUUCUAUAUGUAACUUCUGAGUAAAACCAUAAAUAAAUCAAAACUUUCAACAACGGAUCU